AUUGAACGCUGGCGGCAUGCUUUACACAUGCAAGUCGAACGGUAACAGGCCGCAAGGUGCUGACGAGUGGCGAACGGGUGAGUAAUGCAUCGGAACGUGCCCAGUCGUGGGGGAUAACGCAGCGAAAGCUGCGCUAAUACCGCAUACGAUCUAUGGAUGAAAGCGGGGGACCGUAAGGCCUCGCGCGAUUGGAGCGGCCGAUGUCAGAUUAGGUAGUUGGUGGGGUAAAGGCUCACCAAGCCAACGAUCUGUAGCUGGUCUGAGAGGACGACCAGCCCCACGGGGACGGGGACACGGCCCAGACUCCUACGGGAGGCAGCAGUGGGGAAUUUUGGACAAUGGGCGCAAGCCUGAUCCAGCAAUGCCGCGUGCAGGAAGAAGGCCUUCGGGUUGUAAACUGCUUUUGUACGGAACGAAACGGUCCUGGUUAAUACCCGGGGCUAAUGACGGUACCGUAAGAAUAAGCACCGGCUAACUACGUGCCAGCAGCCGCCGUAA
RNAcentral lists this ribosomal RNA (498 nucleotides) under uncultured bacterium. Its description in RNAcentral is "partial 16S ribosomal RNA". It matches the Rfam family "Bacterial small subunit ribosomal RNA", at positions 29 to 523 of the family's 1533-position model. The record is from RNAcentral.